CGGACGGGUGAGUAAUGUCUGGGAAACUGCCUGAUGGAGGGGGAUAACUACUGGAAACGGUAGCUAAUACCGCAUAACGUCGCAAGACCAAAGAGGGGGACCUUAGGGCCUCUUGCCAUCGGAUGUGCCCAGAUGGGAUUAGCUAGUAGGUGGGGUAACGGCUCACCUAGGCGACGAUCCCUAGCUGGUCUGAGAGGACGACCAGCCACACUGGAACUGAGACACGGUCCAG
RNAcentral lists this ribosomal RNA (232 nucleotides) under uncultured bacterium. RNAcentral describes it as "partial 16S ribosomal RNA". It matches the Rfam family "Bacterial small subunit ribosomal RNA", at positions 99 to 334 of the family's 1533-position model. The record is from RNAcentral.